RNAcentral lists this ribosomal RNA (1335 nucleotides) under Triticum aestivum (bread wheat). Its description in RNAcentral is "partial small subunit ribosomal RNA". Lineage: Eukaryota; Viridiplantae; Streptophyta; Magnoliopsida; Poales; Poaceae. The record is from RNAcentral.
AUGGACGACGACCUCGACCUCGACGCCGCCGCCGGCCUCGCCUCCCUCGCCUCGUCUGGCAUGACAACUGCCCCCUCCGGCAAAGGCAAGCCUCCCGUCGCGGCUGCCGCCGUCGCCGCCGCCGCGCAGCAGGAGGUCACCAACGCCCGCGUCGCGGCGGCAACGAGGGAGGCGCUCUACAUGCUAGGGUUAAACCCUAGCCAGCACGGCCUCGUCAACGCCGCCAUCGCCGCGGCCAGCACUGGCUCAUCGGCGUUCCCUCGGAUGCCCGACGUGAGCGUGGUGGCGCCUUCCACGCCCGCGCCCGCACCCAUCGACACACCGGUGGCAGGUGGCUCGUCAUCCGGGGGCGCGAGGAAACACGGGCGGCAGAUACCGACCGGCGUGCUCCCGGACGCCCGUAACCUGUUCGAGGAAAUGUCGUCCGCCGUCGACGAGGACUACAUGCACAACCUCAUCUUCGAGGGGCGGUUUUCCGGAGACUACGGGCAAGAGGAAGAGGACGAGUGCGACAUCAAAGUGGAGCCUUUGUUCGAGGACGAGCUCGCCAACCAAGCCGCCAGUCCGAAGCCCAAGCGCAAGAGCAAGCGCACGAAGGCAUACACGGCGGACGAGGACAAGCUUCUUUGCAAGUGUUGGCGAGACAUUGGACAAGACCCCAAGACGGGCGCCGAACAAAAGCAUUCAAACUUUUGGAUUCGUGUCCACCGGGAGUUUCAUGAGCGCAAGAAGUUUCCGCCUUACCAAAUUAGCGUCAAGGCCCGCCCCGUGAGCGGCAUCGGCAUGCAAGACAUGGCAUUUCAAGCUUUGGAGGCAUUCAAGGUCCAACACAAUGGCAAAUGCUUCAACCUCUCCCAUUGCUUUCGGGUCAUCAAGGACGAGGAUAAGUUCAAGGCGCAAUAUGCCGCCCUCAAGUCGCGUGGGGGGAAGCAAGCCGUGGAGGAGGUUGGGGACGGCGAGCCGGCACGGCCUCGGGUGAAGACCAACUCCAAGAAGGAGGACAAGCGGGAUGCAGCAUCUAACACCUUGAUCGCAAGUGUGGAGGGCAUGAUGAACAAGGACUCAAGGGAGGAGGAGCACCAGCGUUUCAAAGAAGAGCAAAUGAACGCCUUCAUGGAGAUCCAAAGGAGGAGGCUUGAGAUGGACGCGGAGAAGCAAGCCAAGAUGCUAGAGAUUGAGGCCGCCAACACCAAGACCAAGGCGAAAGAAGUGGUUGUCGCGAGCAUGAUGACCGGGGUGGAGAUCAUGAAGGUGGAUCUCAACACCGUGUCGCCAAGGAAGAGGCCGUGGUUCAAGAAGAUGCGGGCCGACAUGCUCAAGUUCACCGACGAGUGA